CUCCUACGGGGGGCAGCAGUGGGGAAUAUUGCACAAUGGGCGAAAGCCUGAUGCAGCAACGCCGCGUGAAGGAAGAAGGCCCUCGGGUUGUAAACUUCUUUUAUCAGGGACGAAGAAGUGACGGUACCUGAUGAAUAAGCCACGGCUAACUACGUGCCAGCAGCCGCGGUAAUACGUAGGUGGCAAGCGUUAUCCGGAUUUACUGGGUGUAAAGGGCGUGUAGGCGGGGAAGCAAGUCAGAU
RNAcentral lists this ribosomal RNA (242 nucleotides) under uncultured bacterium. Its description in RNAcentral is "partial 16S ribosomal RNA". It matches the Rfam family "Bacterial small subunit ribosomal RNA", at positions 336 to 593 of the family's 1533-position model. The record is from RNAcentral.